Erigeron canadensis is the source of this 756-nucleotide long non-coding RNA. RefSeq lists it as uncharacterized. NCBI's taxonomy places the organism in Eukaryota, Viridiplantae, Streptophyta, Magnoliopsida, Asterales, Asteraceae. The transcript has 5 exons. The record is from RefSeq and is a predicted model, not a curated record.
UCCUGUUGUCGCUUCAUACCCUAAAUAGUAUAUCAUACUUAUUAUGUUUCUGAGUUAUAAUAAAAGUAGCCCAGUGGAUGGCAUCGGAAGUCGUAAAGGAUGAGCUCAAAUGAGAAAUUGGAUGUGUAUAGAUUUGGUUGUUUUGUCAGAGCUUGCUACUUUGCAGAUGACUUGGAGUAAUCUAAAUGCUAAUCAGGCGACAACAAUAUUUAAGUUGCAGCAUAACACAAAAGGCUUUAUUUUGACCACAUUCAUGGAUGGGAUAUUAAGCCAGUGAGAUUUCAGCUCUCAACUUCAGAUGGCCAACUAGCAAUAUCUCAAUGCUACUUGACCUCGCCUGGCAUGUUUUAAGCUGGAAUAGGGAGUGAAUAUAACUGCCAAUUCACUACACCCUUGAAUCAUAAGAACAAAUCUUAUAAGUUGUGGGUGGCUUCAUGUCUUUCUUUAUAAAAACACUCUAGAGAUUCCCGAAGGACAUUCCACAAAUUUGGCCUGCAACAACAUCCUAUGUACCAUUGAACCCACAAUUUAAGGGUGUUGGUGGCAGUAUAGUAGUUUGCUAAUAAUAGAAACUCAACUAAUCUAACAAAAAAUGUCUAAACCACCACAAUUUUUAUAAAAAAGCUAUUUGCCGUGUUUGAUGAUAACAUACAUGUUUUGAAUUAGCAAAUAUUGAUGUGAUUGGUGGUGACAGACCUUUGUAGCAACACCAUUUUGGAAGAAGAUUAUAAUUACGAAUAGAGCUUUGUUUUGUGU